RNAcentral lists this ribosomal RNA (486 nucleotides) under uncultured bacterium. Its description in RNAcentral is "bacterial SSU rRNA". It matches the Rfam family "Bacterial small subunit ribosomal RNA", at positions 40 to 507 of the family's 1533-position model. The record is from RNAcentral.
CGGGAGGCUUAAUACAUGCAAGUCGAGCGGGAUUCUCCUUCGGGAGAUGAGAGCGGCGCACGGGUGAGUAACGCGUGAGUAAUCUGCCCUUGAGUGGGGAAUAACGAUCCGAAAGGGUCGCUAAUACCGCAUAAGUCAGUUUGAGCUGAGGCUUAGACUGGGAAAGGUGGGGAUCGAAAGACCUGCCGCUGAAGGAUGAGCUCGCGUAUCAUUAGGUAGUUGGUGAGGUAAAGGCUCACCAAGCCGAAGAUGAUUAGCUGGUCUGAGAGGACGAUCAGCCACACUGGGACUGAGACACGGCCCAGACUCCUACGGGAGGCAGCAGUGGGGAAUAUUGCGCAAUGGAGGAAACUCUGACGCAGCAACGCCGCGUGUGUGAUGAAGGCCCUAUGGGUUGUAAAGCACUGUUGAGGUGGGAAGAGCAGGCGGAAGUUAAUACCUUUCGCUCCGACGGUACCAUCUGAGGAAGCACCGGCCAACUCUGUG